AACUUAAGCAUAUCAAUAAGCGGAGGAAAAGAAACCAACAGGGAUUGCCUUAGUAGCGGCGAGUGAAGCGGCAAAAGCUCAAAUUUGAAAUCUGGCACUUUCAGUGUCCGAGUUGUAAUUUGAAGAAGGUAUCUUUGGGUCUGGCUCUUGUCUAUGUUUCUUGGAACAGAACGUCACAGAGGGUGAGAAUCCCGUGCGAUGAGAUGUCCCAGACCUAUGUAAAGUUCCUUCGAAGAGUCGAGUUGUUUGGGAAUGCAGCUCUAAGUGGGUGGUAAAUUCCAUCUAAAGCUAAAUAUUGGCGAGAGACCGAUAGCGAACAAGUACAGUGAUGGAAAGAUGAAAAGAACUUUGAAAAGAGAGUGAAAAAGUACGUGAAAUUGUUGAAAGGGAAGGGCUUGAGAUCAGACUUGGUAUUUUGUAUGUUACUCUCUCGGGGGUGGCCUCUACAGUUUACCGGGCCAGCAUCAGUUUGAGCGGUAGGAUAAGUGCAAAGAAAUGUGGCACUGCUUCGGUAGUGUGUUAUAGUCUUUGUCGAUACUGCCAGCUUAGACUGAGGACUGCGGCUUCGGCCUAGGAUGUUGGCAUAAUGAUCUUAAGUCGCCCGUCUUGAAAA
Molecule: ribosomal RNA, 613 nt
Filed under: Lodderomyces parapsilosis
Lineage: Eukaryota; Fungi; Ascomycota; Pichiomycetes; Serinales; Debaryomycetaceae
Description: eukaryotic LSU rRNA
Rfam family: Eukaryotic large subunit ribosomal RNA
Source: RNAcentral